CAAACGACAAGACGUGGACGUUUUGGAAGCAAAUUUAAUAAAUUUUGUUAUUUUACGUAGCCCUGAGCUCGUUUUUGCAUUAAAUAAUGGAGAUAGCACAAAAUUAUAUGGGUCCUCUCGCGACCGACACAAUGACCAGGAUCAACGAGAACGGCAAUGUAGUGGGGACGAUCAUCGUGAACUGCGAGGGGUUUCCGGAGACGACCACUCUGGACAGCUUGACCGCUGCCACCUACUCCACGCAUAUGCGCAACUUAUCCCAUCAUGCUACUAAUGCUCUCAAAGAAAUUGAUGUCACGGAUGAGCUGGUAGUACUACGACUCGUGGCGAAAAAGACAGAGGCAGUCGUGGCACCAGACCACGAGUUCCACUUAAUCGUUGUUAUGAGGAAAACUUAAAUUUGUCAUAAUAUGUAAUUAAAUACAUAUAUAGUAUGGAUGUAAUAAAUAACUUGAUUAUUUUUGUUAUAACAAAUAAUGACCAAGAUAGUAAAAGCCAAAAUGGCGCCAAAUAAAUAUAUUUUUUCUGUCUGUCUGUUCAAUAGAA
Leptidea sinapis is the source of this 546-nucleotide long non-coding RNA. RefSeq lists it as uncharacterized. Lineage: Eukaryota; Metazoa; Arthropoda; Insecta; Lepidoptera; Pieridae. The transcript is spliced from 3 exons. The record is from RefSeq and is a predicted model, not a curated record.